RNAcentral lists this ribosomal RNA (449 nucleotides) under uncultured bacterium. RNAcentral describes it as "bacterial SSU rRNA". It matches the Rfam family "Bacterial small subunit ribosomal RNA", at positions 29 to 523 of the family's 1533-position model. The record is from RNAcentral.
AACGAACGCUGGCGGCAUGCCUAACACAUGCAAGUCGAACGAGACCUUCGGGUCUAGUGGCGCACGGGUGCGUAACGCGUGGGAAUCUGCCCUUGGGUUCGGAAUAACAGCGAGAAAUUGCUGCUAAUACCGGAUGAUGACGUAAGUCCAAAGAUUUAUCGCCCAAGGAUGAGCCCGCGUAGGAUUAGCUAGUUGGUGAGGUAAAGGCUCACCAAGGCGACGAUCCUUAGCUGGUCUGAGAGGAUGAUCAGCCACACUGGGACUGAGACACGGCCCAGACUCCUACGGGAGGCAGCAGUGGGGAAUAUUGGACAAUGGGCGAAAGCCUGAUCCAGCAAUGCCGCGUGAGUGAUGAAGGCCUUAGGGUUGUAAAGCUCUUUUACCCGGGAUGAUAAUGACAGUACCGGGAGAAUAAGCCCCGGCUAACUCCGUGCCAGCAGCCGCGGUAA